ACCCCACUUCGAAACACCCAAACUAUCCCUUUAAACACAAUGAAAUUUGGUUUGGCAGCAAAUAUCAAUGAGAUGACUGAUACUGCAAGGAGAGGAGGAUAUAUGCAGGAUAACUCCAUUAGGUUUUCCUCAAGGACUAUAAUGUUUAGCUUUGUAGAUCUCGAUGAAAAUGUGUCUUGAACAAAAGGAAAAUCCUCCCUGGAUACCCCGGAGUUAGUUUCACUGAGUCACAUGGUGAGCUGAGCGACAACACUUCCCUGGGAACUACCUAAUGUGUGUAAGCGGUAUUAUAUAGAGCAUGUAUGCUGUCGCUGCCUGAUCACACUCUUUAGUUUGCAAAAGCCUCAUUCAUAAUGCAGCAAGAAAAGAGUGCUUGUGACAAUUCCUGUUAUAUUGCAUUAAAUAACAACGUAACCUCUCACCUCUGCAGUAUAGCAACUUUAUUUGAGUGUAACAGCUACUUUGACCUCUUUGGUUGACCCCCACUGUUCCCAUUAUGUGUUUACAGUCUGCUGUGAUGAUUCUGUGUACUUCAGGAGUUCAAUUUAAUUUUGGUACUGUACAAAUUUCACUCGACAGAAGCUCUCAGAUCAGCGAUCCUAUUCUAAGACCCUUGACACACUAAUGGCUACCUUCCAUGGUCGAGAGGAUACGACUUCUCUGGAAGAUGGAUGACAGAGUUUACCUUCUUCAUCCUGAAGAUCUCCAGCACACCUCUGUCCCAGUGAGGAGGAAAACUUUCAUGCAUA
Sebastes umbrosus (honeycomb rockfish) is the source of this 749-nucleotide long non-coding RNA. RefSeq lists it as uncharacterized. The transcript is spliced from 4 exons. The record is from RefSeq and is a predicted model, not a curated record. Lineage: Eukaryota; Metazoa; Chordata; Actinopteri; Perciformes; Sebastidae.